GUGCAGUAGGACAUGUGAAUGUGCAUAUCCAUUCUCCCAGGACGAAGCAAUGCAGGGUCUAGAAUUUCUCUGUGAUUAGUGGUGAACACAAUGAUUCGUGCUUCUCCAGAGCUCGACCAUAAUCCAUCGAUGCAAUUUAGCAGUGUUGAGAGUGUGAAUGACUUGGCAUGUUUCUUGGCUUGAAGUUGUUCUUCAUCCUCAAUUUUUGACCGAUCACGCACCUCCGAAUUACAAUCUAUGUCUUCUACUACGAGUAUUGACCGAUUAGUGGUGCUUAACAUCACCUUUCUUAGCUCAACGCUAGAAGAAAUACUGGAAAGGUCCAAGUCAUAAAUAUCAAAGUUCAAGUAAUUAGCCAUGGCUGCAAUUAGGCU
RNAcentral lists this unclassified non-coding RNA (374 nucleotides) under Hevea brasiliensis (rubber tree). Lineage: Eukaryota; Viridiplantae; Streptophyta; Magnoliopsida; Malpighiales; Euphorbiaceae. The record is from RNAcentral.